RNAcentral lists this transfer RNA (78 nucleotides) under Streptomyces smaragdinus. RNAcentral describes it as "Streptomyces sp. RB5 tRNA-Thr". Lineage: Bacteria; Bacillati; Actinomycetota; Actinomycetes; Kitasatosporales; Streptomycetaceae. The record is from RNAcentral.
UGCUGGCCGUGGUCGGGGCGGCGAUCACCGCGGUCGUGGCGCGGAAGCUGCCGGAGACCCUGCCGCCGGGGCGGCGGC